Odocoileus virginianus texanus is the source of this 5301-nucleotide non-coding RNA. Lineage: Eukaryota; Metazoa; Chordata; Mammalia; Artiodactyla; Cervidae. The record is from RefSeq and is a predicted model, not a curated record.
GAGCCUGGCAGGCUACAGUGCCUAGGAUCACAGAGUCUGACAUGACUGAGCGACUAACACCUCAAACUUCAACUGGAUGCAAUUUGAAGUAUAGUCAGAAAAGAGUGGGAAGUGGGCACAAAGUUGUCGAAUAGUUUGAGUGGUUAUGCACUUCUGGAAGUUAUUGCCAGAUGCAGGAGGAGGGCAGCAGGGAAGUCCUCUGGGAAAAGAUACCAGAAGUAGAGCAAGCCACACCUCCUUCUCCCAGAACUCCUCAUUCCUAUGCUUGUGAACUUUUUUAGAUGAAUCAUGGACCUGGAGGUUAAAAAUGUAUUGUAAAACAAUGGGUUGGCCAAAAAGUUCGUUAGGGUUUUUCUGUACAAAAUUUUUGGCCAACCCAAUACAUCAAGACAUCACCAAAUCAGCUUACUGGAGAAGCAUGGUGGGAGAUUCUCUUAAUAUUAGAAAAAUGUUACAUCAAGAAAUAGUCUUACAUUACUCUCAAGUCAUUACAAAUACAGGUGAUGAGUUCACUGAAGCUCAGUGUUUUGAUGAAGCAUAUUACCAAUUAGGUUUUAUUUUUUUCCCUUUUUACUUUGAAAUAAUUGAAGCACUCCCCACUUGAUAGUAUCUACACAAUUGCAUACUAGAUGGUCGGAACCAGCAAAAUUGCAUACCAUCAAUUAGUUUUUAGAGAUGUCAAAGUUUGUUACAGAAUUUUAGAUCCCUGCUGAAUACUGAAGAGGGACGUUUCCCUGGAAACAGCCUAGUCACAAAGGUGAAGGUGAGGAGCAGAGAAGUCAGGUGUCUUGAUUUGAGCAAUGUUUCUCAAUCCUGGUGAACAUUCUAGUUGCCUGGACUAUGGGUAAAAUUCAACCACUGCCUAGGCCUAUUGCAAAUCAAUCAUAUUAACUGCUACAAGUAAGACUCAGGCAUCAGUAUGUUCUAAAAGCUCCUCUGGGUAAUUCUCUAGUGGUUCAGUGGUUAGGAUUCAGUUUUUUCCACUGCUAAGGGCCUAGAUUCAAUCCCUGGUCAGGGAACCAAGAUCCCCACAAGCUGCUGCGAUGUGACCAAAAAUAAAUAAAAGCUCCUCUGAAGAUCCUUAAGUGCAGCCAGAGUUCAGAAAUACUGGUGUAAGGUUGAUUUAAUGCUUUUUCUAAAAUGAGGAUUUUUGAGUUAUGUUGCGCUUUCGAGAUCACACACAAAAAUAUCAAAAUAUACAAAAACUCUUUGCUCUAUUUGUAGAAGUUUCAAUUCGCUUUCUAUAAUUAAUCCAAGUAAGCCUUAAAACUGAGCUAUAUAAUGGGCGAUGGGGCGUCUCAUCUCCAGACCAUGUCUCCUAGGUUCAGGCGAAGGAUAAAAAUGGAGUAAACCCAGACAUACUUUUUGUCUAGCUCUAGCUUCUAGUAGUUUGGAUCGGUAUCACUGUUUUUACUUCAAACUUCAGGAAAUUUGGAGAGCUACUAAUAUCACAGAGGAAAUAUAUAUAUAUGGGAGAAAUCGAUCCCAUAUAUACACCGGAGGUCGAUUUCUCCAUACUGCUAAUUGCAUCAAUCACGCAGGAACACAUAGACUCCUUUCUGGGCAUAAUCAAAUUACCUCUGUAAGGCCUCGCCCUAAAACUAUUUUUGGAAACUAGGGAUUUUCCAGAUUAGCGAAAGCUGUGGCGUGGUCACUGGCUCAGGCCUGUUUCAUAAUCUAAGCCGCUAAAGCAGCCGCCCUCGCAGUCAAUACGAAGCCUGCGCCCUACUUGAUACCUCUGGGAAUCACAGGCUCACGGUGAGCUUUUUUCCCCCACUUGGAACCGAAGUCGUUCACAUUCCUGUUUUCUAAAAAUACCGUAAAGCAACCCACUCCAGAUUCCUCGCGGGUCACUUUAAAUUACAAGUUCGGCCCUACACGACACCGGAGUAACCACUUACACCCGCCAAUGCGGGCGAAGGUCGAUCCGCCGCCUCUCUUUGUACUCGCUGAACCUGCGCCGCCCAAAUGCGGAGAGUUCGGAGAGGAAGAGGGACGGGAGCACACGGACGCACGUUCUAGAGGAAUUAGCAAAACUGUGCAGCGGUUACAGUAAAUUUGCGGACUCGAACUUGGAGAUAAGGUAUCUCGUAAAGCUCCCUGAUUACUCUUUUGAUUAAAAAUACUACAAACGAGGCGAGGCGGUUUGAGGUUGUGUUAGUAAGUAGACCACGUCCCCAGCCACUCUGCGGAACCAACGAAGAGGUCAUCCGGGUCACCCGACGGUCCCACCCAGAGGCCUGCGCUCCGCGGCCGGCGCGGGCGUAGGCUCCGCGGGCGGAGACGCCGCCUGAAGGGACUAGUUGGCACGCCGGCUGGGCGUGGUGACGUCAGGGCGGAAGCGCACCCUGCGUGAAGCGGCCAGAACCCGGCGGUCACGGGAAUAUCCGUCGCGCCGAGAACGCUGGUUAGUCUCACUCCGGGUUCCGGCUGCGUUGGGCGUGCGUGCAGCUCGCUGAGACUAUGGCGUCCGGGCCUCACCCGACCGCGACCGCUGCCACCGCCGUCUCGUCUGCUGCCCCGAGCGCGGGCGGGUCAAGCUCCGGCACGACGACCACGACGACGACCACGACGGGGGGAAUCCUGAUCGGCGACCGUCUCUAUUCAGAAGUUUCGCUCACCAUCGACCACUCGCUGAUUCCGGAGGAGCGGCUAUCGCCCACCCCGUCCAUGCAGGACGGGCUCGACCUGCCCAGCGAGACGGACUUGCGCAUCCUGGGCUGCGAGCUCAUCCAGGCCGCCGGCAUUCUCCUCCGGCUUCCGCAGGUGGCGAUGGCAACGGGUCAGGUGUUGUUUCAUCGGUUUUUCUACUCCAAGUCUUUCGUCAAACACAGUUUCGAGAUUGUUGCCAUGGCGUGUAUAAAUCUUGCAUCAAAAAUCGAAGAAGCACCUAGAAGAAUAAGAGAUGUGAUUAAUGUAUUUCACCACCUCCGCCAGUUAAGAGGAAAAAGGACUCCAAGCCCCCUGAUCCUUGAUCAGAACUACAUUAACACCAAAAAUCAAGUUAUCAAGGCAGAGAGGAGGGUGCUAAAGGAAUUGGGAUUUUGUGUUCAUGUCAAGCAUCCCCAUAAGAUCAUUGUUAUGUAUUUACAAGUCUUAGAAUGUGAACGUAAUCAAACCCUGGUUCAAACUGCCUGGGUAGUCCAUGAUGGUAAGUCAUAGAACUCUGCCCUCUGCACUUCAGCCCAUGACCUCAGGAUGGCCUGAUUGGCUGCCCUGCUCUCCAGCCAAUCCAGUGCAAGCUCUCAUCCGAGAUUCACUGAAGUGGUCCAUAUCCAUCUGGCAGCAUCUUCUAGUUCUGUCGGGUUGUCAAAAGGAUUUGUAUAUUUGCUUCUAGAAGUAACUAUUCAACAUGCCUAUGUAUUUAAUGUAUACCUGUAACUAUCAAAAUGAAUAGUUCAUUUUUGAUAGAUUUGUUGUCCAGCCAUUACUUAAAUGAUUUUUGCUAGGAGUUUGACUAGAUUUCUAUUUUUAGUUUGUAUAGCAUGAAUUCUACCAGUGGAAACAGCAGCUUAAAAUGGGCACCAUUCCCGUUCUUGAUGAAUGUAUAGCUGUUGGGCUAUUGGAGGCAAUGGUAUUAGAAGUAAGAAGUACUUCAUUUUAAAGAGCUGUUAAUUUUAACAUAGAACUCGAAAACUUAGAUUUUAGAGCUAAAGAUGUGUGAUUUGUAGUGCUGACUUAAAAGUUAAAAAAAGGAGUUUGUGGUUCAGCCACAACUACUGUCUUAAGACUGUUGAUGUGCAGUACUUAAGUGAUGUAAUUCUUAUGUUCUGGACUUAACGACUGCCAUGCUUCUUUAUUAGUAAUAUUAGAAAAGUCUCAUUGCUUUUAUAAAAUGCAUGACUUUGAUAUAUGUUCUAUAAAACAGAUUCUUAUCAGUUUUCACGGGUUAAGGACUUUUAAGAAACAGUCUUAGUUUAACUUUUUGAACAAUUUGUAAAAUUUAUUCAAUACUUCAGGAAUAUUGUGGGGAGGGUUCACUAUUAUAAAAGUCCAGUAAUUUAUUAACUGAAGUAGUUACUGCUUUUAUUUAUAUUUAGUCACACUUGUAUAUAAACAAGGCUGUUAUAUAUAUUAUUUGCUCUUCACUUCCCAACCUAGGUUUUCUGAACUAGCUUAGUUUUCUUAAUUUGGUGCGUGCUUACUGAAAAUGCUUUUUUAUCCCUAUCACAGUAUUGAAUUUUUGACACUGCUUUUCAUUGUGGAUAAAGGAGAGAGAUGGUCAAUAACUAAUGGCUUGAAGUAUUGUUGGAGUGGUUUGUCAUUUCUGAAACUAAUCAUGUCGGAACUUUCGGAGCAUUGCUUUUCAUGUUUUUUUAAAAAACUGUUCUAUGUGGAGUAAUAAUAUGGAAUUAUUAUUUUUUUAAUAUGGAAUUAUUUUAAAGGACUUCGGUCCUAUUUGGGAGACAUGAAUGAUUCUAGUGUUAAAUUCUUAUCUCUCACUGCUUUUUGAGUUAAGAAUUGUUAUAUGCUAGAAUACUGAAAACACAAAUAUGAGAAGAAAAAAGAAUAAAGUAGAUUGAGUCUCCAAUUUUAUGUAAGCUUCAGAGGAACUGAUUUGUAUACAUACAAAGCUUAUGGUUGAAAUAUUUUUCAGGAAUUAUAUGAAUGACAGUCUUCGAACCAAUGUAUUUGUUCGAUUUCAACCAGAGACUAUUGCAUGUGCUUGCAUCUACCUUGCAGCUAGAGCUCUUCAGAUUCCAUUGCCAACUCGUCCCCAUUGGUUUCUUCUUUUUGGUACGACGGAAGAGGAGAUCCAAGAGAUCUGCAUAGAAACACUUAGGCUUUAUACCAGAAAAAAGCCAAACUAUGAAUUGCUGGAAAAAGAAGUAGAGAAAAGAAAAGUUGCCUUACAAGAAGCCAAAUUAAAAGCAAAGGGAUUGAAUCCUGAUGGAACUCCAGCCCUUUCAACUCUUGGUGGAUUUUCUCCAGCCUCUAAACCAUCAUCACCAAGAGAAGUAAAAGCUGAAGAGAAGUCACCUAUUUCCGUUAAUGUGAAGACAGUAAAAAAAGAACCCGAGGAUAGACAACAGGCUUCUAAAAGCCCUUACAAUGGUGUAAGAAAAGACAGCAAGAGAAGUAGAAAUAGCAGAAGUGCAAGUCGAUCAAGGUCAAGAACACGAUCGCGUUCUAGAUCACAUACUCCAAGAAGACAUUAUAAUAAUAGGCGGAGUCGAUCGGGAACAUACAGCUCGAGAUCAAGAAGCAGGUCCCGCAGUCACAGUGAAAGCCCAAGAAGACAUCAUAAUCAUGGCUCUCCUCACCUUAAAGCCAAGCAUACCAGAGAUGAUUUAAAAAGUU